This 449-nucleotide ribosomal RNA is filed under the name uncultured bacterium. Its description in RNAcentral is "partial 16S ribosomal RNA". It matches the Rfam family "Bacterial small subunit ribosomal RNA", at positions 29 to 523 of the family's 1533-position model. The record is from RNAcentral.
AGCGAACGCUGGCGGCAGGCCUAACACAUGCAAGUCGAACGAACUCUUCGGAGUUAGUGGCGGACGGGUGAGUAACACGUGGGAACGUGCCUUUAGGUCCGGAAUAACUCAGGGAAACUUGUGCUAAUACCGAAUGUGCCCUUCGGGGGAAAGAUUUAUCGCCUUUAGAGCGGCCCGCGUCUGAUUAGCUAGUUGGUGAGGUAAAGGCUCACCAAGGCGACGAUCAGUAGCUGGUCUGAGAGGAUGAUCAGCCACAUUGGGACUGAGACACGGCCCAAACUCCUACGGGAGGCAGCAGUGGGGAAUCUUGCGCAAUGGGCGAAAGCCUGACGCAGCCAUGCCGUGUGAAUGAUGAAGGUCUUAGGAUUGUAGAAUUCUUUCACCGGGGACGAUAAUGACGGUACCCGGAGAAGAAGCCCCGGCUAACUUCGUGCCAGCCGCCGCCGUAA